GUGAGCUUGGCAUCGACCACUUAGAUGAGUUUAGUCGCCACAUUGUGUGGGGCAACACAGUUAAGCUCUACAAUCAUAAUGUUCUUAGACUGUGAAAGAUCAUCCACAACAUCACCACGCCUGAUCGCUACUAUGUGUGCCACAUGACAGAAACAUUUGCAACAGACAUCAAAAGAAUGUACUUUACGGUUCCCUUUUCUAUGGGUUCCCUUUUCCCACACAUGGAUGGUGAUCAGGGUGAACUGCCAAUCACUAUUGGAGAUGGAACUACUGCUAUCACAUCCAGCUUUAUCAAAGGUGUUGACAAAAGGGCCACCAUCACUAGAGGCUGGAGCGACUUCUUCCAUCGGGCACACAUGAACAAAGGGCAAGCAUAUGCUUUUGCCUUCAAAUGCACUUCCAAGGGAUUGUGCCUGAUCGUCUACAUAAGCAAGUUGCAAGAGCCCCUUGUUAUAUAACUUAGCAUUAGUAUAGAUGCCUACCAAGACUUCUAUGUUUAUCAUCCUUUUGGAUCUUAUGUAAUCACCUGAGACCAUCAUGUGCGUUUAACUAUCGGUUAUUUGUUGCUUAGACUGUUGUGUGGUAUGCUUUUCAAAUAGCCAUGAUGAAAGAAAUAUAUGCUUUCGCCUUGAA
Non-coding RNA from Aegilops tauschii subsp. strangulata, 633 nucleotides. The record is from RefSeq and is a predicted model, not a curated record. NCBI's taxonomy places the organism in Eukaryota, Viridiplantae, Streptophyta, Magnoliopsida, Poales, Poaceae.